This is a non-coding RNA of Strongylocentrotus purpuratus (purple sea urchin), 73 nucleotides long. The record is from Rfam. NCBI's taxonomy places the organism in Eukaryota, Metazoa, Echinodermata, Echinoidea, Camarodonta, Strongylocentrotidae.
GGAGUGUUGGCUCAGUCAGUAGAGCGCCCGCCUCACAACCGGGAGGUCGUGGGUUCGAACCCCGGCCGCGUCA